RNAcentral lists this ribosomal RNA (119 nucleotides) under Eucalyptus grandis. The record is from RNAcentral. Lineage: Eukaryota; Viridiplantae; Streptophyta; Magnoliopsida; Myrtales; Myrtaceae.
GGGUGCGAUCAUACCAGCACUAAUGCACUGGAUCCCAUCGGAACUUCGAAGUUCAGCGUGCUUGGGCGAGAGAAGUACUAGGAUGGGUGACCUCCUGAGAAGUCCUCGUGUUGCACCCC